RNAcentral lists this ribosomal RNA (473 nucleotides) under uncultured archaeon. RNAcentral describes it as "bacterial SSU rRNA". It matches the Rfam family "Archaeal small subunit ribosomal RNA", at positions 206 to 680 of the family's 1478-position model. The record is from RNAcentral.
AGGAUGGAUCUGCGGCCUAUCAGGUUGUAGUGGGUGUAAUGUACCUACUAGCCUACGACGGGUACGGGUUGUGGAAGCAAGAGCCCGGAGAUGGAUUCUGAGACAUGAAUCCAUGCCCUACGGGGCGCAGCAGGCGCGAAAACUUUACAAUGCGGGAAACCGUGAUAAGGGAACACUGAGUGCUAGCAUUUAUGUUAGCUGUCCACAUGUGUAAAUAGCAUGUGAUAGCAAGGGCUGGGCAAGACCGGUGCCAGCCGUCGCGGUAACACCGGCAGUCCGAGUGGUGAUCACUAUUAUUGGGUCUAAAGGGUCCGUAGCCGGUUUAAUCAGUCUUCUGGGAAAUCUAAUCGCUUAACUAUUAGGCUUCCAUGGGAUACUGUUAGACUUGGGACCGGGAGAGGUAAGAGGUACUGCAGGGGUAGGAGUGAAAUCUUGUAAUCCCUGUGAGACCACCAGUGGCGAAGGCGUCUUAC